Molecule: ribosomal RNA, 606 nt
Filed under: uncultured Acinetobacter sp.
Lineage: Bacteria; Pseudomonadati; Pseudomonadota; Gammaproteobacteria; Moraxellales; Moraxellaceae
Description: bacterial SSU rRNA
Rfam family: Bacterial small subunit ribosomal RNA
Source: RNAcentral
AAUACCUGGCGGCAGGCUUACACCCCUGCAGUCUGAGCGGGGAAGGUAGCUUGCUACUAACCUAGCGGCGGACGGGUGAGUAAUGCUUAGGAAUCUGCCUAUUAGUGGGGGACAACGUUUCGAAAGGAACGCUAAUACCGCAUACGUCCUACGGGAGAAAGCAGGGAUCAUUUGACCUUGUGCUAAUAGAUGAGCCUAAGUCGGAUUAGCUAGUUGGUGGGGUAAAGGCCUACCAAGGCGACGAUCUGUAGCGGGUCUGAGAGGAUGAUCCGCCACACUGGGACUGAGACACGGCCCAGACUCCUACGGGAGGCAGCAGUGGGGAAUAUUGGACAAUGGGCGCAAGCCUGAUCCAGCCAUGCCGCGUGUGUGAAGAAGGCCUUAUGGUUGUAAAGCACUUUAAGCGAGGAGGAGGAGCUUCAGGUUAAUACCCUGGAUGCUUGGACGUUACUCGCAGAAUAAGCACCGGCUAACUCUGUGCCAGCAGCCGCGGUAAUACAGAGGGUGCAAGCGUUAAUCGGAUUUACUGGGCGUAAAGCGUGCGUAGGCGGCUAAUUAAGUCAAAUGUGAAAUCCCCGAGCUUAACUUGGGAAUUGCAUUCGAUAC